AGCCCCGCUCGAUUUAAACUAGUGGCACUGUAAAGGCUUUAUCCACUUUAGUCACUGCCCGCCGCGGGCAAUCAUUCUAUUGCUGCAUUAUCGUAUCAUGAAUGAGACGGUAAGAAAAGUAGCCCGAAUCCAGUGUCAUGAGCUCCCCUUAAAUAUAUCGAACGCUGUUUACGCCCGGAUGACGAUACUUUUGAUUAUGCGUAUCCCUUAUAGGUACCCCUCUACGACUGGAACAUCGACGCCCGUUUUUCACAUCGCCCUAAGGACUCUCUCGUAAUCGCUGAUGAUCCCUGGGUUGUCUGUCGGCCUCAGACUUUCCCCACAAAUGACAAAGUCCAACAUUUCGAAACUGCAAAAUUGGUUAAAUUAAUCAGGCCGUCUGUAGGAAGAAAUGAGGUUCCACAAGGAGGAACCGGGGAAAGCUCAUUUCAGAAGAAUCCGGAUUUGGCACAAGAAGUACGUACGCGAUGACACGUCGCACGAGUUGACUUUAAGCACUUAAAUAUUG
Neodiprion fabricii is the source of this 508-nucleotide long non-coding RNA. RefSeq lists it as uncharacterized. NCBI's taxonomy places the organism in Eukaryota, Metazoa, Arthropoda, Insecta, Hymenoptera, Diprionidae. The record is from RefSeq and is a predicted model, not a curated record. The transcript is spliced from 3 exons.